CGUGGAGACAGGUGGUGCAUGGCUGUCGUCAGCUCGUGUCGUGAGAUGUUGGGUUAAGUCCCGCAACGAGCGCAACCCUUACCCCUUGUUGCCAUCAGGUCAUGCUGGGCACUCUAGGGGAACUGCCCCGGUCAACGGGGAGGAAGGUGGGGACGACGUCAAGUCACCAUGCCCCUUACGUCCUGGGCUACACACGUGCUACAAUGGCCGGUACAAAGGGAUGCAAAAUCGCGAGGUGGAGCCAAACCCGGAAAGCCGGUCUAAGUUCAGAUUGGAGUCUGCAACUCGACUCCAUGAAGGAGGAAUCGCUAGUAAUCGCGCAUCAGCACGGCGCGGUGAAUACGUUCCCGGGCCUUGUACACACCGCCCGUCACACCACGAAAGCCAGCUGUACUCGAAGUCGCUGAG
Molecule: ribosomal RNA, 408 nt
Filed under: uncultured Methylomirabilota bacterium
Lineage: Bacteria; Methylomirabilota (SeqCode)
Description: bacterial SSU rRNA
Rfam family: Bacterial small subunit ribosomal RNA
Source: RNAcentral